GAUGAAGUUGGAAGCGAAGAGGGGUUCUCGUGAUAUGGGCACUUUGAGAACAGGGAGCUAGUGGUGCAACCUGCCAAUAAUU
This 82-nucleotide non-coding RNA is filed under the name Maledivibacter halophilus. RNAcentral's name for it is "Clostridium halophilum c-di-GMP-II sequence". It matches the Rfam family "Cyclic di-GMP-II riboswitch aptamer". Lineage: Bacteria; Bacillati; Bacillota; Clostridia; Peptostreptococcales; Caminicellaceae. The record is from Rfam by way of RNAcentral.